Long non-coding RNA from Daucus carota subsp. sativus, 3822 nucleotides. RefSeq lists it as uncharacterized. The record is from RefSeq and is a predicted model, not a curated record. The transcript is spliced from 3 exons. NCBI's taxonomy places the organism in Eukaryota, Viridiplantae, Streptophyta, Magnoliopsida, Apiales, Apiaceae.
AUAUUAGUACUAGUUAAGAGUGUAUAAGAGCUCUUUCCAAUGUUGUGUUCAUUUAUAUGGAAUGGAAUGAAUUGAGGAGAGAAUGAAAUAGAAAAUCAUGGAAAAAGUUUUAUGAAGAUCGAAGAAAAUAUGAGAAAUAAUGAUUAUAUAUGAACGAGUCUAAAUUUUCCAGCGAUUGAAGAUUGUAUGUAAACAUUAUGUCGAAGUGGAAUGAACAUUUUUUCCGGAAUAUGUAAGUUAGAUUCAUAGUUCAAUGGUCAGGAUAGGAAUGAUUAAAAUAAUGAAAAUUAAGAAGAAAAAAAAGUCUAAUCACCUUUGAUUUAUAGUAUUUCAUUCUAAUUUCUUAUUAUUUCAUUUCAUUCACGUGAAUGUAGUCUUAAUCAUUUUAAAUGUAUUUAAGAAUUUCUUAAGCAAUUUUUUCUCUUUUUUCCUCAAAUUUCAAAUUAAAAAUCUAAAUAGAUAAAUUCUUGGAGAUGCUUUAAAAAUCUCUUCAAUUUGGGCCAAAAUACUUUAUUUUUACUGUGAGAACUCACAUGGAAACUCAACGCCCAUUUGUUUAAGGGAAGCAGAAGCAGAAGCUGUUUAUAGCUUAUACUUUUCCUGAACCGGUUAUGUUAAUAAACUAUAGCAUGUUUAAAAAGUUGAGAAUAUUAGAUUUUCUCUCAGAACUUUCAUUUCUUUUAUAAAUACUUUAUUUAUCUAUUUAUUUCUCAAAUUUAAUAAAUUUUGUAUUUUAAACAACAAAUCAUUUUUUUAAAAUUUGUACAAACCAUAGCUCACAAAGCCUUUCGGAAAUGCUCAAACGCUCACGUUGAACGUGCAGGGGCCAAGGGUAUUAAAUGAUGUAUGCUUUUUACAGCUUUCUUUGACAACCAUAUCUUAAAAAAAAACAAAACAUGUGCUGUUGACACAGUUACACAUGUGUCUAGUUGGUUAGGAUCUCGUGUCCUCCUAAUUGGCUCAUAAAUAUAAUGACUUUAGAGCAUCUUCAACUGCGUUAACUAUAAUCGUUGGCUAAAUUGGACCUGUAAGACAUUAUGUAAAAUUUGCGAAAUUUGUAAGACAUUUUGCUUCAAUGGUACUGGCUAUAUUGGUUGACUAUAAUUUAAAAAUAGUAUGUUAUUAAUAUUAUAAAUUGUUAAAAUAGAAUAUAUCAGUUUAAUAUGGUAAUAAAUGAUGUACAAUCUUCCUACAGAUUUUCUUACAGACCUGUAGAGGUUCGACAAAUUUAGCCAUCCAUAGGAGGUUGGCUAAAUUUAUAGACAACAGGUGAGCAUGGUUGGAGUUGAGUUUUUGGAGCUGUUGGCUAAAUUUUUUUAUUUUAGGUAUGCCAGCUCAUCUUUUAGCCAAGGGCUUUAGAUGGUUGGAGAUGCUCUUAUUUGAGAAUUAGCGGUUAGUUAUUAGCGGAUCGAAUUAGAUUUUUUGACUGGCUGAUUAAAUUAGAUGUUUUAAUUAGCACAUUAAAUUAGUUAUUUCUUGUAAAAUUGUUUGGUAAAUAGAUUGAUUAGUUUUCUCUGACACAAACCAAAACCUCUAGCUCAAAAAACUCCCCAAAGUUGUUUUUUCAAAAUUAGCUUUUUGAAUGCAAAUCUCUAUUUUAAUCUUAGCAUAUUUCAGUGGUCAAAUCUGUAAAACAUCGGAAACUUCUAACUUUUUCCAAACCUCUAAUUUCCAAACAUGGCCAAUAUAUAAACAAUGUGGCUCUUAGCAAUUUAGUACAAAGUUAAGAGCGUAAACUCUAAUAAUACUCUAUAUAUCUCUUCUCUGUUUCAUAUUUUAUUUUUAUUAAGCUCCACUAUAACAAAGUUAAGUGGAGGUCAACCGAUAAUGAUGAAUUUUUUAUUGUGAAAAACUAGGUUAAAAGCCACGUGGUGACUCUUAACUUUGAGGAGUGAGAAGAGAGGAGAGAAAAAUAAGAAGUUUUUAAUGAUUUAAAGAGUCACUAAAAAUCUCUUAAAGCAAUUUUUUUCUUUAUCCUUCUCAAAUUUCAAUUAAGAGCCUAAAUAAAUAGUCUCUUGGGAUGCUCCAAAUCAUGAUAUUUACUAGCCAGCAUCUCGUUUUCAAAUUUUAAGUGAGUUUGCCUUAUAUAAAUAAAAUCCUUCGUUAUAAAAUAAAAAAUACAUGCGUCUUUCGAAUAAUAUAGUAAUCAAGACACACCUUACUUUAUAUCCACACUUAAUGUUCCAAUGUAGUACUUGGUUAUUUAACAUUACACUUUGAAAGAUUACACUUUGCUAAGUGCUUAAAUCGACUGCAGAACAGGAGUAAUUAUAAAUAAAUCUUUAUAUUUAUAUAAAGGAGGAUCCUUCAGAGGAUGACGUGGCCUCUCUUACAACUCUCCAUUUAAAUUUCCUAUUUUCCUAUGAAUUCUGUGUUUUCUUAAUUUUUAAUUUACUCUUACUGUACUUUUAUUUCAACUCUUUUUGCUUUCUCAUCUCAUUAAUUAUAUUUCGGUUACGUCCUUUUGAUUUUGUUCUUAGACUUCGUUGGCUCUUCUCAACUUUCAUUUGUCUGUUCUACCUCCACUUUUCUCCAACUCCCCCUCCAAAGCACCCUCACUCUCUCUCCUCCCCGCCUGUUCAAUCACCCAUCUCAAGAAAUUGGGGUCUCUUUCGGGUUUGGGCAAUGACACUCUUUGACUACGGUUUAUGGAGGUCCAGGAGAAGGUUGAAGCUCAUAUGCGACGCUUACAGCCUACAGGAAGAUGCUAAGCAAUUGGCUGAGAUUUGUGAACUCCGAGUCCAGGUGACCUUGUCAAUAUUUCUUGCUACAUUUGCUGGAGUUGGAGGAGCAAUGUGUGGAGCUUAUUUUAUAAUUGAAGUUUGAAAUUGCACAGAAGGUGGUUUUGGUUUAGAAAAUACUCCCUCUGUUUUUUAAUAUAUGACGUUUGACUUUUUGGCACACACUUUUAAGUGCUUUGACCGGAUAGUUAAAUACAUUAUUUUUGAAAUUUUCUUUUUUUGAAUAAAGUUAUAUAAUCAAAAUUUUAAUUCACAAAAAAAAUCAAUUAAAAAUAAUAAUUUUUGCUAGCCGGUCAACCCACCUAAAAUUACGUGCCCAGGUCAAAAGUGACAUAUAAAAAAAACAGAGGGAGUAACAUCACAAUUUUGAUGAAGCUAGAGAAGUGCAGCAGUCAUCAGGUUCUCAUCAUGCGCCUCACUCAAAUCUAUUUAAGCCCAGAAGCCAAGAAUUUGUGAAAGGGAGCCAACUCAAUUCAUAUUCCACCGAGUUGAUUUACGUUACAAUGAAUAAUGCACUAACCCUUUUAAUCAGUAAAAGGGAAAUUAAUGUGAAAAUAGUGAACUACACAAAUCAUGAAGUGUGGCCUUGAGAUUUUGGGAACCUCUUCUCUCUCGGAAAAAAGCUGAAAUGUCAAGUUUUUUGGCGAGCUUUGGACAUAAUUGGAGGGUAUUUUUGUGGGUAUCAGAUGAUGCGCAAUGGAUUUCUCUGUAGUUGUAACCUUAAACCUCAGUUGUGAGCCUUUGAACAUUGUGAGUUUUGAGGUGGCUAUGAAAUCAUACUCCUUUCGAGCUUGAUGAAGCAAUGCAUUAAAGAGUGCUUUGUCAAGUAAAGUGAUUCAGAUUACAUAUUGAGUUUAAGACGAGAGAAAAAUAGGGGCCCUUACUACCUUCAUCUGAGCAGCGCCCCAAAGUUUUGUGAUGAGCAAAGCAAAAGGUUGUCUGUUUCCAGAUUUUGUACCAGACUGGUCGCAAGGAAUGCAGAUAUUAUCUACUUUAUUACAUAACUCUGUUCAUAAUGAGUUCUCCACAAAUUUUAAGCGUCCCUGAUAGCUACUUGAACUUGGUAAGUUCCAUAUAACAA